Molecule: ribosomal RNA, 371 nt
Filed under: uncultured bacterium
Lineage: Bacteria
Description: bacterial SSU rRNA
Rfam family: Bacterial small subunit ribosomal RNA
Source: RNAcentral
AACGAACGCUGGCGGCAGGCCUAACACAUGCAAGUCGAACGGGUGUAGCAAUACAUCAGUGGCAGACGGGUGAGUAACGCGUGGGAAUCUCCCCAGAGGUACGGAACAACUCAGGGAAACUUGAGCUAAUACCGUAUGUGCCCGAGAGGGCAAAGAUUCAUCGCCUUUGGAUGAGCCCGCGUUGGAUUAGCUAGUUGGUGGGUAACGGCCUACCAAGGCUACGAUCCANAGCUGAUCUGAGAGGAUGAUCAUCCACACUGGGACUGAGACACGGCCCAGACUCCUACGGGAGGCAGCAGUGGGGAAUCUUGGACAAUGGGCGCAAGCCUGAUCCAGCCAUGCCGCGUGAGUGAAGAAGGCCUUAGGGUUGU